CUUGAUGGUAGUGUAUUGGACUACCAUGGCGUUGACGGGUAACGGAGAAUUAGGGUUCGAUUCCGGAGAGGGAGCCUGAGAAACGGCUACCACAUCUAAGGAUGGCAGCAGGCGCGCAAAUUACCCAAUCCUGACUCAGGGAGGUAGUGACAAGAAAUAACAACUUCGGAUUUAUCCGAGAUUGGAAUGAGUACAAUGUAAAAUUUUUAACGAGUACCAACUGGAGGGCAAGUCUGGUGCCAGCAGCCGCGGUAAUUCCAGCUCCAGUAGCGUAUAUUAAAGUUGUUGCAGUUAAAAAGCUCGUAGUUGAAUUUCUGUGUAGUGUAUUUGAGGUCUUCGGACUGAUCUGCAUUGCACAUCCAUCUGAACAGCAUUUCAUGUCAUUGAUUUGGCGGUUAUGUGAUCAGAUACUUUACCUUGAGAAAAAUAGAGUGUUCCAAGCAGGCGCUCGCCUGAAUAAUAAAGCAUGGAAUAAUACGAUAGGACUGAGUUCUAUUGGUGCAUAGAACGCAGUAAUGAUUAAUAGGGACAGUUGGGGGCAUUUGUAUUUAAUUGUCAGAGGUGAAAUUCUUUGAUUUAUUAAAGACAAACCUAUGCGAAAGCAUUUGCCAAGGAUGUUUUCAUUAAUCAAGAACGAAAGUUAAGGGAUCAAAGACGAUCAGAUACCGUC
This 670-nucleotide ribosomal RNA is filed under the name uncultured ciliate. Its description in RNAcentral is "SSU rRNA". It matches the Rfam family "Eukaryotic small subunit ribosomal RNA", at positions 319 to 1019 of the family's 1831-position model. Lineage: Eukaryota; Ciliophora. The record is from RNAcentral.